ACAGGCACGGCCAGUUUGAGCAUUUUCACUGAAUUGCCAAACCAGUUGUGCCUGUAGA
Bos indicus x Bos taurus (hybrid cattle) is the source of this 58-nucleotide microRNA precursor. The record is from Ensembl. Lineage: Eukaryota; Metazoa; Chordata; Mammalia; Artiodactyla; Bovidae.